Molecule: unclassified non-coding RNA, 250 nt
Filed under: plant metagenome
Description: partial contains small subunit ribosomal RNA, internal transcribed spacer 1, and 5.8S ribosomal RNA
Source: RNAcentral
GUAGGUGAACCUGCGGAAGGAUCAUUACUAGAGCAAAGAACAGACAGCGCCCCACAGGAGCUUGCUCCGUGGCGGGCUACCCUACUUGUAGGGUUUAGAGUCGUCGGACCCCUCGAAGAAGUCCGGUUCUGAACUCCACCCUUGAAUAAAUUACCUUUGUUGCUUUGGCAGGCCGCCUCGUGCCAGCGGCUUCGGCUGUUGAGUGCCUGCCAGAGGACCACAACUCUUGUUUUUAGUGAUGUCUGAGUAC